RNAcentral lists this ribosomal RNA (455 nucleotides) under uncultured bacterium. RNAcentral's name for it is "bacterial SSU rRNA". It matches the Rfam family "Bacterial small subunit ribosomal RNA", at positions 340 to 786 of the family's 1533-position model. The record is from RNAcentral.
UACGGGAGGCAGCAGUGGGGAAUAUUGCACAAUGGGCGCAAGCCUGAUGCAGCCAUGCCGCGUGUAUGAAGAAGGCCUUCGGGUUGUAAAGUACUUUCAGUCGUGAGGAAGGUGUUAAGGUUAAUAACCUUAGCAAUUGACGUUAGCGACAGAAGAAGCACCGGCUAACUCCGUGCCAGCAGCCGCGGUAAUACGGAGGGUGCGAGCGUUAAUCGGAAUUACUGGGCGUAAAGGGCACGCAGGCGGUUAAUUAAGUUGGAUGUGAAAUCCCCGGGCUUAACCUGGGAAUGGCAUUCAAGACUGGUUAGCUAGAGUCUUGUAGAGGGGGUAGAAUUCCAUGUGUAGCGGUGAAAUGCGUAGAGAUGUGGGAGGAAUACCGGUGGCGAAGGCGGGCCCCUGGACAAAGACUGACGCUCAUGUGCGAAAGCGUGGGGAGCAAACAGGGAUUAGAUACC